AAAAAGCCCCGUGGCUGAAUAUUGCUGUUCCUCAUUGAUAACGUGGACGCACUGCUUAGUUCAAAGAAAGAGCUCGAAGAAUGAAGAAAAAGAGCUGGGUCCUGGGGGCUUCCAGAGUUUUCAGAGCUGGGUCCUGGGGACUUCCAGAGUUUUCCUUUCAUAUACAUAUAUUUACGCCAAUUCCAGUGGCUUCAACUUACUGGAACUUGAAGAGGCGCUGCUUAGUUCGAGGAAAAUUAGCAAUGGCCGAACAAUUUGAGAUGCACGAGUGAAACUGGGAACCCAAGGACUUGAGGUAUAUGUUACAAUUACUUAAUUCAAUUUGGGAUUCGAUUCAAUUUGUAGAUAAUGCAAUGAUCUUCAAAGAAUGUAUCCUAAAUCUCAUUGCUUUAUCCAAUGACAUGUUUUUCCCUCCUAGGUAUCAAGGCUAGGUUAUGGUUGUAUGGGGCUUUCAGGUAUCUACAAUAAUCCUGUCCCUGAGGAAGAAGGAAUUGCAAUAAUCAAAGAGGCAUUUAAUAAAGGAAUUACGUUCUUUGACACAUCGGAUGCUUAUGGCAUGAACCAUGCCAACGAGUACUUGGUGGGGAAGGUAGGUACUUUGCUAAGAAAAUUAUUCUUGAUUAUGGCUGUACUUUUGCUUCCUUUGUAAUUGAAAGUUGAUGUGAAUGACGAUAAUGAUAUUAUAAGGAAUCAAGCUGAUCUAAAUGAGGCUCCAUUUUUUUACAUUUAACUCUGGGUUAAUAAAAACAUUUAGAGGAGUCUUUGUUACUAAAAGUGAGCAAGGGAAAUAUGAGAAUUUUAAAGAAGUGGUUCCCAGGGUGAUUUAAGAGGCAGACCCUUCUAUCAAUUGAUGUAGAUAUGUUUAUAACAAAGAAACUAUGGUGUUUGUUAUUUGUACAUCAUCUUAAUAUCUCAACUGAGGAUAUUUAGAUAUGUAUUUAUGUUAGAAACAUUCUUUGCCAAUUAGAUUAUCAUGUAAGGUUUCAUUAGUUAAACUAUAGACAUGGGUGCAAUGAUUCGAUUAUGUAAACGUUCAAAUUGAUUGUUCCAAUUGUAAUUAAAAAUUAAGUGAUGAGUUCAAACGGAAUGAAAUUUCACGAUCAAAUCAAAUGUCGCUAAAGUUCAAUAAUUGCGCAUAUCAACAUGAUUCCGUUUUGACUUUUUCCUCUCCAUUAAACAUUUCUAGUCCUUGGUUUGGCUGCCAACAUCUUAAGGAAUAACUAGGAAUUUGUUUUGUUUAAAGACAAUGCUGGACGGAAAAAGUGAAACAUACUCCUCAACUUCAAGAGAUCAUUCCCAUUGAUGACCUAUUGAUUAGGGCAUUGCUGUUAUUUUGCUCAAAAGUUAUAAUUUGUCAUACUAGUAUAAUUCAUUAUAUAAUACAUAAAAUUAAUCAAGUUCGAAAAUUAGUCUUAAGCACACUUCCUUUAGAUCAUCUUAUAUUUCAAACAUAUACAUUGUUUACUCACUUUACGAGAAUGUUUCAAUACCAAGUUGUACAUGAGACGUCAAUCUUUGAUAUCAACUGAUGUAAAGUAUUGUCCAUGAGCUAUAACUCAUGGAAAAUGUGCAAUAUGUCAAUAUUACCCAGAAUAAAGCUUGAGAAUCUACCCCGAACUCCACUUCUUUUGAACGAAUUCUCACUUCAAACAUGCUCUUGUAUUACCUAUUUAGUUUUUAUUUUUUUAAGAAUGAAUUUAGGUAAAUAUGUGUAAUAAAAUUUUAACCUACUCAUAUACUUCAUGUCGUUUUCUUUUACAUUCACAAACUGCUUGCUUCUUGUGAUUCACCUUUUCUUUUAUGUUGUACCGUUUCUAUCAUAUUGUGCUUUCUUGACCUUUUAUAUUGCAUACUUUGGAAGAUUGUAAGAGAACUGUUUAGCGGUUUGAGAGAUCUUUAGCUACUACUGAUUUUAUAUUAAGAAACAUAAAAAAGGAAGGCAGGAAAGCCGCACAAAAAAUGAUUGUAAAGUUGGGAGCUAGUAUGAGAGUGAACAAAGAGAUGAAAUGAGAAAGAUAAUGUUAUUAUCAAUAAAGUAAAGUUAGACAUUUUAGUUCUAAAAGACUGUUUCAACCAAAAAAAAAAAAGAAAAAUGAAAAUUACUUUGUUUUUCUUUAUCGCUAGUUGAGGAGUGUUUUGACAAAUUGAGCAGGGAAAAAAAAAAACUCACCAUUCUCCAUAUACCAACACAACGAACCAUAAACUUUAUUAUUUAUACAUCAUUGUAUAUGUAAGGUGUGUAAUUUCGAGGCUUAGUCCUCAAUACCUAAAGUUGUAAGCCUAAUAUUGGUCCAAAUUAGACCCCCUUUGAGCUCCACUAAUUUGAAGUAAUGUGUUAUGGAAUGGUGAUUGAUGGAGAAUGUGUGAUUAAAAAAGAAUUGAAAAGUUUUUGAUUAGCAUGUAGUAUUAUUUUAAUAAAUGUGUGGAUGAAAAUGAAUAUUGUAGAACAAAUAAUGGGAAAGAAUGUAGAAGAAUGAGGUUUUAUUCCUGUCUCAGUACUUUGCCUUACCCAUGCCUUUUUAAAUAAUCAUAUUAAUUUAUUUAUCAAUACUAUUUUCUAACGUCGUAUUCAUGCUUUUUGAAAUUAUCAUAUUAAUUUGACUUAAUGUAAUGCAUGAGCUUUUUAGUAGUCACCUUUGAGUUAUCUUAACAAUAGAUAUUUAAAUUUUGUAGGCACUAAAGCAGUUACCUAGAGAAAAGGUUCAAUUAGCUACAAAGUUUGGUGUAGCAGGAUUUGAUGCUUCUGGUGUCAUAGUGAAAGGUUCACCUGAAUAUGCUCGCUCUUGUUGUGAAGCUAGUCUGAAGCGUCUUGAUGUGGAUUAUAUCGAUCUUUACUAUAUACAUCGAAUUGAUAAUACUGUGCCAAUUGAAUACACUGUGAGUUUUUUAAUUUUUUAAUGAUUUUACUUGGUGUCGUGUAUCCAUUUUUUAAGUGGCCAUUAACCAUGUUUUCACUUGGCUUGUACUCCUUUUUUUUUUUUAUCAUGCUUUCCAUUUUACUAACAUGUUUGCUCUUGUUGAUAAAAUUGUAUAUAAAUUGCAGAUGGGAGAACUUAAAAAGUUAGUCAAAGAAGGUAAAAUAAAAUAUAUUGGGUUGUCUGAAGCUAGUCCAGACACAAUAAGGAGGGCUCAUGCAGUUCAUCCUGUUACUGCUAUACAAAUGGACUAUUCCCUUUGGGUUCGUGACAUCGAAGAAGAAAUAAUUCCACUUUGCAGGUUCUUCAUAUUUCCCUAAUAUUUUUGUUGUGACCCUAUUACAUUUUCAGUUGACUCCCUUGGCAAUUAUGUACUUAAAUUGUAACUUAAGGGCUGAUAUUUGAAUUUGAAAUUAAUUUUGGACAACCUCAUCCUAGGAUUAACAUUACAAUGUUGAGCUCCUAUUUUCUAUUAUAAAACUCCAUGUUUUUGUAUUUUUUUAUUCCUGAAGCUGAAACUACGAUUAGAUAGAUUUUUGAUCAUUGUGCUUAUAAUAAAAACAGUAAAAAUAUUUUCCUCCUUUAUCAAUUCUUGAACACCCUGAUUCAUUUCUUUCAACUACUACGCUUCAAGUUUCUAUAGUUUUUCAUCUUAUUGAUUAUGAUCUCAUAUAUUGUUUCUUCUUUUUUCUGGAAAUGGAAAAUAGGGAACUUGGAAUUGGAAUAGUUCCAUACAGUCCCUUAGGUCGAGGGUUUUUUGCUGGGAAGGCCAUCGUGGAAAGUGCAGAUCCAAAUAGCUCUUUGGUGUGUGCAUCUAUAUAUUUUAGAUUUCAUUGCACAAUAUCUUAUUUAGUAUCCAGGAUCAUGUAGUAGUAUCUUCACUUUUGUAAUCUCUCUGUUGAUGAGAAGUUGUUUAAUUUUCGUACCGUCAGACAAGUCACCCAAGGCUUCAGGGAGAGAACUUUGAUAAGAACAAAGUCCUAUAUUUUCGUAUAGAAGCGUUGGCUAAGAAGCAUGGAUGCACUCCUGCUCAACUUGCGCUUGCAUGGGUUCUUCAUCAAGGAAAUGAUGUUGUACCUAUUCCAGGUUAGUCAAUCAUGUAAAAGCCUUAGCGUUAAAAACUAUAGUAGAAACCAUGUUUGAUGGAUCGGAAAUGUAGAGUAUGAAAGAAAUUGGAACUAUCUGUUUAAAAAUCUUUGCUGUUACCCUCACAUUAUAUUUAUAUUGAAGCAUUUAAUUCGUUUUUGUGAGCAUAAGAAUAUUCAUAUUAAAAGUAUAUCAAUGUAGAUUGUCUUGGAGAUUUGUGAAUUGAACUGGAAUUGUGACUUAGACUAAGCUAAACGCCAAUUGAAACCAGCCAACUCUCCUCUCCCUGUUUUUCGCUGUAAAAUUGGAAGUCUCUAUUUAGCAUCCCCAUGAAUUUCAGAUACCCUCAUUAUGGAUGGGGUUGAAAACCAACAUUCUUUUUCAUAGAUAUCUAAUUAUGUAACUCCUUUUCUUUUUACCCUUUUUUUUUUUUAAAGGAAAUGAAAGGGAUAGAAUGAGAGUAAAAUUAUCGCAUGCUCGUGCAGUUUUUUGUUAAUUCGGGAUUAUGAGAUGGGAAAGAAACAGAGGUCUCGUCACACGUGAAUAACUGUACAAAUAGGCCUAUAAUAUUGGAGUAUGAGAUGAUCGUUCCUGCCCUUUGGAAGUUCAUGUACUUGAGUAUGAGAUGAUCAACCUUUCCCUCGUCUUUCAUGAGUCUUUUUGUUUCUUAUUUAGAUAUCAGUAUGCUUCUUGGAGGUGUCGAGAUAUACAUACGAGCUCGUAAAUCUCUUCAGAGUCUGGUUAUUUUUCUCUUAAUUUUCCACCAUAUUUAUGUGCGUAGGCCUUAUAAUUAACAGCCAUUUGGGCCAUUUCACCCUAGAUAGGGAGAUCAGGAAAGACGGAUCGUUAAGUGAGAUUACUCUGGAAAAUUGUUAUUAUUUGCAGAUGCUGUAAAAUAAUUUUCUCCGAAAUUAUACAUACAAUGGAUGCCAGUGAAAUGUGCAUUAUAUCGAUAUCAUGAAUUUGAUUGUUUUUAAUGAUAAUUUAUCUUGCCAAUCUUGAAAUAUUGGUGUAGGUACGACCAAAAUUAAGAAUCUUCACGAUAAUAUUGGUGCUCUGAAAGUGAAGCUUACAAAAGAAGAUUUGAAAGAGAUUACUGAUGCGGUUCCCAUCAAUGAAGUAGCUGGGAUGAGAAGUUCUAAUGAUGCUUUUCAUCGGAUCACGUGGGAAUUUGUGAGGACACCACUCCCAAAAUGAACCAGUUAAAUGGAUAAUAUUUGUAUAUUAUGUUUUGAAAGAUCUUUGUCGUAGUUGUGUUGAUAUUUCCCGCAGUUUCCUUUGCACACUUCUAAUUCCCUUUUGUAUUUUUCCCAUGUCAUUAGCUUGUGUUGCUAAUCACGAAUAAUAUAUUGCGUGGCUAUUUAAUAAUUGAACCCUUCUCUUCUUUUUUACCAGCUUAACAUGUUAUGGUCAUCUUAUUAAUCAAAUUAUUUUAUAAUUUAUAUUCCUUUUGUCUGAGUAGACUUUCUAUCCAUGCAGCUUGUAGGUACAUGUUUAAAAUGCCAAAUGCCAACCAUCAGGAGGAUGGUUCUCCGUAAUGGAAGGACUUUUUAUGCAUGAAAUUAAUACACUUGUUACACGAAAAUGAACAAAUUUAUUAACUAAUGCUCUUUCAUUAUUUCUCUCCAAACAAGAAAAUGAAAUAUCUAACUGGAUCGUGC
RNAcentral lists this long non-coding RNA (5662 nucleotides) under Olea europaea subsp. europaea. Lineage: Eukaryota; Viridiplantae; Streptophyta; Magnoliopsida; Lamiales; Oleaceae. The record is from RNAcentral.